GGAGGGCAUCGUCAUGGUUAAUUUUAUGUAUCUACUGGCUGGGUCAUGGAACCCAAGUUUCCUAGAUAUUUGGUCAAAUAUCAUCCUCGAUGUUUCUGUGAAAGUAUCUUUCAGAUGAGGUUAACGUUUAGAUCAGUAGACCUUGAGAAAAGCACGCUGCCCUCCAUAAUGGGGGUAGGCUUCAUCCAGUCAGCUGAAGGCCUUAAGAGAAAAGAGACUGAUCUCUCUCCAAAAGAGGCAAAGACCGCCUCUGGACUCCAGCUGCAGCAUCAACUGUUCCCUGGGUUUCCAAGCCUAUGGACCUAUCCUGCGGGGUUUGGACUUGCCAUUCCUUAAACCCUUGUGAGCCAAUAUAUAUUCCUGGGACUCCAGCAUCUGACAAGUGCCCCUGCCUGGUGGAGUGGGCUGAGGGAUGGGGGCAACAGUAGUGAGUGGCUAAAACCCAACUGAUAGCCUAGAGAACACCGAAGAGAAUGCACGCUUUGUCAGGGAGGCCAAUUUUUUGGUAGUAGGGCCAGAGCAGGGCAAACAGCGAGGCAUUCUCAGAAAGCCCCAUGGUUAAUGGAGGCAGGGCAGAGAAGCUUGUCCAAGGGGUACUCUUACCAAUGAGUGGGCAGGACUUUAAGGGAGGCUGGAGAUAGCAUCAACAGAAGUGAUAGUCAAGGAAAUAUAGCCACUGCUGUUUUGUGAUGAUAUUUUAACUCCCAGGCUGAUGUGGGGGAACUGGGGAUGUAGAUAUAUGAGAAAUACCUUCACUGAGGUGGUCUCAAAAUGGCGCACAGGUAAGGACAGACUAUCUGCUUGCAACUUGUUUCAGAGGUAACAGCACCAGUGCCUGGAAACGGAUAAUUCUACCCACAGAUAGCCAUUCUUUCCCCAUUUCCUGCCUCUUGGAACAUUAAAGAGGUGCUUAUGUUGCCAGGUGAAUAUACCUGACUUUUAGUGGACAAAAACAAGAUAUAUCACCUCACUGAAUAUUUGGAAGUUGGGUUCUUUUCCAAGAAAAACCAGAGGGAAGAGGAAAAGUGGUUUCUUCUCUAUUUCCUGCUAAGAAAAAACACAGGAAUAGUUUUACUGUAAAUGGAAGAAAGAAAAUUUCCUGGUUGGCAAAGAAGACAAAAGGAGGAUGGCGUGGUUUUACCACACAGAGCCUGUACUUCAGUGUCGCAGAAUCAGUUUUACCCUGGACUCCAAAUCUUGUCUUGUGAUCUAGGCAAGUUGGUCAACCUCCCUGGGCCUCAGUUUCUUCAUCUUUGAUGUGGGGCAAACACUGCCUGCCUCAUCAGAAGGUCAAGAGGAUAG
Molecule: long non-coding RNA, 1302 nt
Filed under: Equus caballus (horse)
Lineage: Eukaryota; Metazoa; Chordata; Mammalia; Perissodactyla; Equidae
Description: lncRNA (ENSECAG00000044022.1)
Source: RNAcentral